GCUUCGCUCUCUGCUCCUCCUGUUCGACAGUCAGCUGCAUCUUCUUUUGCAUUGCCAGCCGAGCCACAUCGCUGAGACACCAUGGGGAAGGUGAAGGUCGGAGUCAACGGGUGAGUUCGCGGGUGGCUGGGGGGCCCUGGGCUGCGACCGCCCCCGAACUGCGUCUACGAGCCUUGCGGGCUCCGGGUCUUUGCAGUCGUAUGGGGGCAGGGUAGCUGUUCCCCGCAAGGAGAGCUCAAGGUCAGCGCUCGGACCUGGCGGAGCCCCGCACCCAGGCUGUGGCGCCCAGUGCAGCUCCGCCCUUGCGGCGCCAUCUGCCCGGAGCCUCCUUCCCCUAGUCCCCAGAAACAGGAGGUCCCUACUCCCGCCCAAGAUCCCGACCCGGACCCC
RNAcentral lists this small RNA (390 nucleotides) under Pan troglodytes (chimpanzee). RNAcentral describes it as "retained intron". Lineage: Eukaryota; Metazoa; Chordata; Mammalia; Primates; Hominidae. The record is from RNAcentral.